This 409-nucleotide ribosomal RNA is filed under the name Fusobacteriota bacterium. RNAcentral's name for it is "Fusobacteria bacterium partial 16S ribosomal RNA". It matches the Rfam family "Bacterial small subunit ribosomal RNA", at positions 355 to 776 of the family's 1533-position model. The record is from RNAcentral. Lineage: Bacteria; Fusobacteriati; Fusobacteriota.
UGGGGAAUAUUGCACAAUGGAGGGAACUCUGAUGCAGCAACGCCGCGUGCGGGAUGACGGCCUUCGGGUUGUAAACCGCUUUCAGCCAUGACGAAGCUUUUGUGACGGUAGUGGUAGAAGAAGCACCGGCUAACUACGUGCCAGCAGCCGCGGUGAUACGUAGGGUGCGAGCGUUGUCCGGAAUUAUUGGGCGUAAAGAGCUUGUAGGCGGUUUGUCGCGUCGAUAGUGUAAACACGCAGCUUAACUGUGUGCCUGCUGUCGAUACGGGCUGACUAGAGGAGGGUAGGGGAGAAUGGAAUUCCCGGUGGAGCGGUGGAAUGCGCAGAUAUCGGGAGGAACACCAGUGGCGAAGGCGGUUCUCUGGACCGUUCCUGACGCUGAGAAGCGAAAGCGUGGGUAGCAAACAGG